This 46-nucleotide non-coding RNA is filed under the name Schistosoma bovis. RNAcentral also lists the same sequence under 1 other name. The record is from RNAcentral. Lineage: Eukaryota; Metazoa; Platyhelminthes; Trematoda; Strigeidida; Schistosomatidae.
GCACUGCUGAGGAGUCCCACAAUAGAACGAAACGGCCGUUUAGUGU